UACGUAGGGUGCAAGCGUUGUCCGGAAUCAUUGGGCGUAAAGCGCGUGUAGGCGGCCCGGUAAGUCCGCUGUGAAAGUCCAGGGCUCAACCCUGGGAUGCCGGUGGAUACUGUCGGGCUCGAGUCCGGAAGGGGCGAGUGGAAUUCCUGGUGUAGCGGUGAAAUGCGCAGAUAUCAGGAGGAACACCAAUGGCGAAGGCAGCUCGCUGGGACGUGACUGACGCUGAGACGCGAAAGCGUGGGGAGCAAACAGG
This 253-nucleotide ribosomal RNA is filed under the name uncultured bacterium. RNAcentral describes it as "partial 16S ribosomal RNA". It matches the Rfam family "Bacterial small subunit ribosomal RNA", at positions 524 to 776 of the family's 1533-position model. The record is from RNAcentral.